Molecule: ribosomal RNA, 301 nt
Filed under: uncultured bacterium
Lineage: Bacteria
Description: partial 16S ribosomal RNA
Rfam family: Bacterial small subunit ribosomal RNA
Source: RNAcentral
CAGCCGCCGCGGUAAUACGAAGGGGGCUAGCGUUGCUCGGAAUUACUGGGCGUAAAGGGAGCGUAGGCGGAUCGUUUAGUCAGGGGUGAAAUCCCGGGGCUCAACCUCGGAACUGCCUUUGAUACUGGCGAUCUUGAGUAUGGGAGAGGUGUGUGGAACUCCGAGUGUAGAGGUGAAAUUCGUAGAUAUUCGGAAGAACACCAGUGGCGAAGGCGACACACUGGCCCAUUACUGACGCUGAGGCUCGAAAGCGUGGGGAGCAAACAGGAUUAGAUACCCGCGUAGUCCCUGUCUCUUAUAA